Molecule: ribosomal RNA, 381 nt
Filed under: uncultured bacterium
Lineage: Bacteria
Description: bacterial SSU rRNA
Rfam family: Bacterial small subunit ribosomal RNA
Source: RNAcentral
GACGUAGGAUGCAAGCGUUGUCCGGAUUUAUUGGGCGUAAAGAGUUCGUAGGCGGUUUAUUGAGUUUGGUGUUAAAUACUGAGGCUCAACCUCGGAACUGCAUUGAAUACUGGUAGACUCGAGUACAGUAGAGGUUGGUGGAAUUCCCAGUGUAGCGGUGAAAUGCGUAGAUAUUGGGAAGAACACCGGUGGCGUAAGCGACUAACUGGGCUGUAACUGACGCUGAGGAACGAAAGCCAGGGGGAGCAAAUGGGAUUAGAUACCCCAGUAGUCCUGGCCGUAAACGAUGGAUACUAGGCGUAGCGGGUAUCAACCCCUGCUGUGCCGUAGCUAACGCGAUAAGUAUCCCGCCUGAGUAGUACGGCCGCAAGGUUGAAACUC